UCCUGUCCUACAAUAUAUUAGGGCUGGCUGUCCUACCCACAAGGCAUCUGCAGACACCAAGGUGGCUCAGUCGGAAAGGAUUCUUCCAGGUUGGCAUUAUAUCAACCCACCUGCUUCUAGAAGGGAGAAAAAAAAAUCAGAAUCACUCAACCUGCAGAUUGCUGUCAGCUUGUGAUUAUGUGAAUGCAAUCCGGCCUUCAAACAGCUAUCCCAUUGGCAACAGAUCCUUAGCUGCAUUAACAUCAUGUUGUGCAUGAAUCAACAGGGGUCACCCUGGCUUUGUGCUGGCAUCUGAGGAAAAGCUCCUGAUUCAGAGACAUUUAGAACAUCUGACUUCGUGAUCUCGGCUAUGAGGUCUCAAAGUCAUCAUUUUUAUUCCUGAUGCUGGUUAUAUUGGUUCCAGUUGAACCAAAGGAACAUCACGAGAAGGAUGGCUAGUAAUCAGCAAGCAGGCAGUAGGCAAUCUCCCAUCAGCUCUGGAACGCCUCUCUGAUUCGACUGCUUCCUUUCUGCUAUGCAGAAUAACCAUCAAGACAGAAAGCCUGCCAAAAAAGGACAGAUUUCCUCUGAGGCCAGAUUUGGAGGCUACUGGAGAAGGAGCUUCUCAAAUGAAUGAUACAUAAGAAGAAAUGGAGAAAUGGAGAAAGUGAGUUGGACAAACAUUCCUAAUCUAAGAAAACACAGUAAGAAGGGGGCGAGUUGAUGGUUCCAUAUUGCUUAAAAAGAAAGUUUUAGAAGAAAAACAGCUGCUUUGAUGGAUGA
Talpa occidentalis (Iberian mole) is the source of this 762-nucleotide long non-coding RNA. RefSeq lists it as uncharacterized. The record is from RefSeq and is a predicted model, not a curated record. NCBI's taxonomy places the organism in Eukaryota, Metazoa, Chordata, Mammalia, Eulipotyphla, Talpidae. The transcript is spliced from 6 exons.